Molecule: ribosomal RNA, 303 nt
Filed under: uncultured bacterium
Lineage: Bacteria
Description: partial 16S ribosomal RNA
Rfam family: Bacterial small subunit ribosomal RNA
Source: RNAcentral
AGCAGUCGCCACGGUAAUACGUAGGUCCCGAGCGUUGUCCGGAUUUAUUGGGCGUAAAGCGAGCGCAGGCGGUUAGAUAAGUCUGAAGUUAAAGGCUGUGGCUUAACCAUAGUACGCUUUGGAAACUGUUUAACUUGAGUGCAAGAGGGGAGAGUGGAAUUCCAUGUGUAGCGGUGAAAUGCGUAGAUAUAUGGAGGAACACCGGUGGCGAAAGCGGCUCUCUGGCUUGUAACUGACGCUGAGGCUCGAAAGCGUGGGGAGCAAACAGGAUUAGAUACCCCAGUAGUCCCUGUCUCUUAUACA